UACGUAAGGUCCGAGCGUGGUCCGGAUUUAUCGGGUUUAAAGGGUGCGUAGGCGGACUGGUAAGUCAGCUGUGAAAGUUUACUGCUCAACCGUGAAAUUGUAGUUGAUACUGUUGGUCUUGAGUAUACAUGAGGUGGGCGUAAUUUGUGGUGUAGCGGUGAAAUGCUUAGAUAUCACAAAGAACUCCAAUUGCGAAGGCAGCUCACUGGGGUAUAACUGACGCUGAUGCACGAAGGUGUGGGUAUCAAACAGU
RNAcentral lists this ribosomal RNA (253 nucleotides) under uncultured bacterium. RNAcentral describes it as "partial 16S ribosomal RNA". It matches the Rfam family "Bacterial small subunit ribosomal RNA", at positions 524 to 776 of the family's 1533-position model. The record is from RNAcentral.